RNAcentral lists this ribosomal RNA (443 nucleotides) under uncultured bacterium. Its description in RNAcentral is "partial 16S ribosomal RNA". It matches the Rfam family "Bacterial small subunit ribosomal RNA", at positions 338 to 795 of the family's 1533-position model. The record is from RNAcentral.
CCUACGGGUGGCAGCAGUGGGGAAUAUUGGGCAAUGGGCGCAAGCCUGACCCAGCAACGCCGCGUGAAGGAAGAAGGCUUUCGGGUUGUAAACUUCUUUUCUCAGGGACGAAGAAAGUGACGGUACCUGAGGAAUAAGCCACGGCUAACUACGUGCCAGCAGCCGCGGUAAUACGUAGGUGGCAAGCGUUUUCCGGAUUUAUUGGGUGUAAAGGGCGGGUAGGCGGGAGCGCAAGUCAGAUGUGAAAACUCAGGGCUCAACCCUGAGCCAGCAUUUGAAACUGUGUUUCUUGAGUGCUGGGGAGGCAAUCGGAAUUCCGGGUGUAGCGGUGAAAUGCGUAGAUAUACGGAGGAACACCAGUGGCGAAGGCGGAUUGCUGGGCAGUAACUGACGCUGAGGCGCGAAAGCGUGGGGAGCGAACAGGAUUAGAUACCCUUGUAGUC